GCCGGGAAAUGAGAAGCCAUUGGUACCGUGGGCUAGACAGGGCUUAACUUAGGGAAGGGCGGGGGCCGGGAGAGGAGGUGGAGGUGCUGGGUUCUCCCUGGUGUCCCAUGGGACAGGGGCUGAGGAAAGCCAGGGAUGCCAACAGCAGCUGUUUCUCAGCAGAAAGGACCUUCUAACCUGACUGGGAGUUGUACGCCCCGCGACCUGGGAGUCAACUUUAGACCUGGCAGUCAACCUUGGACCUGGGAACCAACUUGGAAUGUGGUCCCUUCUCAUUCAAGAACUACCUAAUAUCACGGAAGGAAUAACGACCUUGUUGCCCAAACAAUGGAGUCCCACCCCAGCCCAAAUUGCAUACUUCCCCAAGCAUGUAAUCCCUACUUCCCCAUGUAAUCUUUGCCCUUCUUCUCAAGAUAAGCAGCUGGCUUAUGGAAGGUUGCAGAGCAGGUUUUUGUGGAUGACCCGCUGCUCUCCCAUACCGCUGGCAUUAUUGGAAUAAACGUUCUUAUAUGAUCCAA
Long non-coding RNA from Myotis myotis, 518 nucleotides. RefSeq lists it as uncharacterized. The transcript is spliced from 2 exons. NCBI's taxonomy places the organism in Eukaryota, Metazoa, Chordata, Mammalia, Chiroptera, Vespertilionidae. The record is from RefSeq and is a predicted model, not a curated record.